GGAGCGUUUCUAGAGCUCGGAGGCUGCUGGUAGGGGGGCACCACUUUCAGAUAAAAACAUAGACCUGAAUGGCAUCAUCCAGUAUCCAAGGAAACCAUGUUCUCUAAACAUGAGUAUGCCUUUGGGGGAAGACAGAAGAACAUGGAAGCCAUGUGAAAAAAAUGGAUCCUAAGGCAGUUUUGAACAUCUGGAGGCCUGAUUUAUUGGAGAUUGCAAAUGUACGGUGUAACAUAGCUGUGGAGAGAUCUCACAUGAGAUGGCAAAGAGGUCAAGACAAAAAUUCUGCAUUUGGGAAAAGAAUAACACAUGGACUUCCUUCUACAG
Molecule: non-coding RNA, 324 nt
Filed under: Pan troglodytes (chimpanzee)
Lineage: Eukaryota; Metazoa; Chordata; Mammalia; Primates; Hominidae
Source: RNAcentral